This 501-nucleotide ribosomal RNA is filed under the name uncultured bacterium. RNAcentral describes it as "partial 16S ribosomal RNA". It matches the Rfam family "Bacterial small subunit ribosomal RNA", at positions 30 to 523 of the family's 1533-position model. The record is from RNAcentral.
AUUGAACGCUGGCGGAAUGCUUUACACAUGCAAGUCGAACGGCAGCACGGACUUCGGUCUGGUGGCGAGUGGCGAACGGGUGAGUAAUGUACCGGAACGUGCCCAGUCGUGGGGGAUAACGUAGUGAAAAUUACGCUAAUACCGCAUACGAUCUAUGGAUGAAAGCGGGGGAUCGCAAGACCUCGCGCGAUUGGAGCGGCCGAUAUCAGAUUAGGUAGUUGGUGGGGUAAAGGCCCACCAAGCCAACGAUCUGUAGCUGGUCUGAGAGGACGCACCAGCCACGAGGGAACGGAGACACGGUCCAGCCUCCUAGGGGAGGCAGCAGGGGGAAAUUUUGAACAAUGGGCGAAGGCCUGAUCCAGCCAUUCCGCGUGAAGGAUGAAGGCCCUCGGUUUGUAAACUGCUUUUGUAAAGAAAAAAAAGGUUUCUACUAAUACGAGGAGCUCAUGGCGGUACUGUAAGAAAAAGCACCGGCAAACUACGUGCCAGCCGCCGCUGUAA